GUCCCGAUUUUUCCGUCCGUGACGCGACAGCGUGGCGGCGCGGCGCGGCGCACGGGACCCCAUGGCGGCGGCGCGGCUCCGUUGGCCGGAGGAGCGUGCAGCGGACUCGCACCGCGCGCUGCUCCGUCGAACGGCGCCGACCACGUUGCACGCGCAUGGGCUUGAGGUGCGGAGCGGUCGGGAGAUGGCGGUGGCGCGGCGCCGUACUUGAGGAAGCUGACGACGACGUGAAUGGCAAGGCCGCCCUUCGCGUCUCUGUCUGUAAAGGUUGCGGGUUGUGCGGAAACCAUCGACGCGACGAGCGUAGACAGGUGUAUCCGUCAUUUGCCGCCGGAUUCCUUCGGCCUCAGCCAGGACCUUGUGUGCCCUUCUCUGAUGUUGUGAAAUGUUAACUCAUGCAUGCCGACAGCCGCCACCAUGCUCCAGCUGCCUCAGGCUUCAGGGUGAUGAAUUAGUCAAGCUAUUAAAUGGCAGCGACGUUCCUCACACACGCUUCCAAUGCAGAAUUGCUGGCAGGGCCAUCAUCACCUAUGUCUUGACUUGAUUCAGAUGGACUCAAGAAUUGUGUGCUUUCACGGUAUAGAUGAACUGCUACUACAAGCCCUCAAGAGGAGGAGGUGAAGAUGGAGCGCAAUGGUGGCGGUCUUGGCCUUGCUCUCACUAUUAUGGCUGCCAUCUGGCUUCUCUGCCGCAUCGUUGUUUUUGCCAGCAGCGGCGGCUCUUUGCUGUCGAUUGAUCGCAUGGUAACUCCACUUCAUUCCCAGAUGUUCUUGCUCAGUUCAGUAUGUCCUCACAAGCAGCAAUGAUUGUGAUGUUGUUUUGUGGCUCUGCCUGCCUUCCUGUUUAGAUUUGAACUUACAACACAUGAAAUUAAUACUGUUUUGUUUGUUCAUGAGCAAACAAUAGGAUUUGGUUGCAGAUUUGUUUUCCUUUAUUUUGUUCAAUAGUUUUGGGUCAAGAUUCAAGGAUUGGGAUGGAUAAGAGUCUGCUGUUUCAGGAUUCUGUAUGUGAAAAAUGAGAUUUUAUGGUAAUUCAUUUGUCAGUCUGAAUGCGGAUGUUCAAUAAUAAAAUGUUAGAUAUGAAAAAUCUUUCAUUAGAUAGUACAGUUUGUGAAUUAAAUGAACACCCGAUGUUACAGUGUGAACUAGCUAAUGUCAUAAGCCGUGCGUUAAAAUAGAGUUCUGAACUUAUGUGUAUAUAGCACAGAGAACAUAUAAAGUUAUGAACACUGCUUAGUUCAACUGGUUCCUAAACUAAUCAGUAAGUUUAUCCAGGGAUUUACAUGUCUUCCUUUUAGAUUGAUUUAAAUUGAUGACAACAGAAUGUCCUUUUUGUUUUUUCUCUUCCUUGUGCAUACCUUCAGAAGAUAAAAAAUACACCCGUGGCUGGCGUUUGAAUUGCCUUCAUGUCAUUCUUACAAAUGAUGCUCCUGCUUCAUAGUCAUGUUUGUACAAUAACUCUUUAGUCAAGCUCAUAUUACUGACAACUUUACAUCAUGUCCCUAAAAUCUUCUGUUUAUCCCAUGGGAAUCUUUUGCAUCAUGUAUGUUCCAGAAUAGGCAUCUGGACUUGUGAUUUUUUUGAAUCUGGUUUUAGUGAUGACUUUCACCAUCAGCCGUUUAAUUGCUCUGCUAAGUUUCCUCAGCGGCAUUCAAGGAGAUGCCUGGUGGCAGUUGUUGCCGAUGCAGCUAUGCGCCAUUGUCCUUUCAUUGCUCCAUGUUGAUGGGCCCUCAGAGGUGGCCAAUUGUGGGUGACAGGUGGCCAUAAGCACAAUAGAAGGCACCACGCAGAGCUAGAAGAGGAUGCUGGCCGGCAGACCACCUCUCUUGCCGUCAAGGGCACCAUUCAGCCGCCUUUUUUUUUUUUUUUUUGCUUCAGAGGCUUCUUGUGCUGCUACAGUAACUGGAUGCUUUAAAGGAUUUGAAUGGAGUUCAUUCUAGGUGGGUGUGCAAAUCAGCAGCCUGCUGCCAUGUCUUUUCUUGCCGGAACCCCCCGCUGCUGGAUGCUCCCCUCCCGUCCUGGCACGGCAAGGCACAUCUGCCUCUUGUGUGAAGAGAGUCGCUGGGAGAAGACAACAAGGAUGACUCUGUCCAUAUUCCAGGUCGCUCUUCCUGCCGUGCCCUGCCUCAGUUCACGUUUGCAUCCUGAGGCGAUUUCUGAGCUAUCGGGUUCUUGAUUUCGUGCACAGGUGGGGAUUGCGUUGCCCUGUGGAAUGGGUUCCCGUACCUUCUCUGUGCCGAGGCUGGUUGCUACCCCUGCUUGCGGCCGGCGGCUGCAAGGUGAGUUGAUUUGUUGGUUUGUUCAUGGCCUGGUUCUACCUGGCUCCUAUUGUUCUUCCCUUGUCUACUAUUUCGAUUGGUAGAGAGUUGUCUCGAGCAUAAAACCAGGAUAAUCAUUGAGAGACAUACCAUGGAGUGUUGAUGGUGUAAAUCUGGACAGUUGUGUCGUCUGAAACAAGAAUUUGGCCACAAAUCGUGUUGCUGCGAAUCUCAUCUUUCCUUUGUGAAGUCUGGUCAUUCUUCCUCAAAUUGGAUUGUUCGCAAUGUUCUGCAGCUAGGACUAGCUCGUGCAGGCUGACCCUUUGAUUAUAGUAGGUGUUCAAAUAGUGUCAUAUCUCAUAUGUCAAUGGCUUCUAGGUGCAGACCCUCAGUAUUAGGUGCUGUAUGUAGGAAUUGUACAUCGAUGGAAGUAUAUGAUGGUGCAACUCGCAUUUAGCCCAUAAGCAGACCUUUAGAGUGUGAUGUUUUAUCUUAUAGGCAUUUAUCAAAGCUAGCCCUGCUGCUUGGGUAAAUUCCGAGUGUUACCUGAAGUACACUGGGGCUAGACACUGUUGAUUUUUGCCUUACCCUGGUUUGCCGGUCUCUGUUUGCUUAUCUGGUACAGUGUCACCGAAAUAUCCGACCCGAAGCCAACCUCUCCUCCUUCUAGAUGGCCCCAGUAUCCACCGCUAAUCUCUCAUCUCACCUUUUCUCAGAGAGAGAGAGAGAGGGAGAGAGACGCCUCCACCGGUCGGAAGGCCGUUCGAUGUCCGAGAGAAAGGGCGGAAGGCCGUUCCCCGGCCAACACAGAUCCAUCCCUCGCCGCUCUACAGCCGCCGUUUAAUGCCCUCCCUAUACCUUCCCGGUGGUGCCCAGCCGCUCCCCCCCUCCUCUUUCACCAUCCUGGGCAAAAGGAGGCCCAGGCGCAGCAGUUGUGGCCGUGGUCUGGUCAAGAUGGCGCCAUGGUCCAUGCUAUGGACGAGGAGCUAUGGGACGAGGCCGUCUCCCCUUCUCCUCUUUGCGUGAUUUGGGUCAGAAGCCUUUAAUCUUCUCCGAUUUGGUCGCUCCAAUGGUCCAGCCUCUGCUUUGGUCGAUCGUUUAGCUCAUGACCCUGUGCUUUAUUUUGUCUGUCCUCAAAUUAUGAUUUUGUAUCAUAUAUGUGUCCUGCUUCCCUUCAAAAUUGUGGAUUCCGAAAUUUAUGAUUUAUUUUCCGAAUUUGAUAUUGUCGAUGCUUAUCGUCAUCAUCCAGUUGGAUUAGGAACCGCGAUGAUGUCCAGUGCAGUUUCCUAUUCAUAAUUUUAUGAUCUCUGUAUAUUCAUGCGGUCAUGCCUAAAUCUGUAUAUUGUGCCAUUGAACGUUUCACAUUAUUUCUAUACCAUGGGACAGUAGGAAACUAAGUGCACAAGUGGGAAGAUUACUGCUCAGUAUUGUAGCCUUUAUGUAUGUUUUAGUCAUACUUUCCCAACAAUGAAGUGAAUGCUGAUAAUUCUGAAGUAUAUUAACUUCAAUCUAAGGCUGGUUCCAGCAUUAGGAUAAAGAAAUGCUCUGCAACAGAUUGGUAAUUGUGAAUAUACACUCGCUGGAAGAUACCUUGAGAAUUCAUCAUGUGUAGUGCUUUACUUUGUUGAGUCCACUUUUAGUUUAGCACUAAUUAACUAACUCUUUGGUGCUCAGUUACCUCCGUGUAAAUAGAUAUGGCUUCAUCCUGUUAGCUGCUUUCCUGGGCGAAUUGCUCCUUGUAUUAGUUACAUCAUGUAACCUAUACAUCAUAGUUCAUUCUUGAUUUUAGUUCAGUUUCUGGUUUCGUAUUAUGAUGGUUUGACCUGCAUCAUGCCUUUAUGAAAUAUGUACAUGAGAAUAUGGAUGUCAUCUAAUAAAUUAAAUUAGAUUUUUAUAUGGAGUAAUAUUGGUACACUAAGCGUUAUUGCUUGAUAAAGAACUGUUGCAUGUGGCGGAAGCUACAGCAAUGCCACCAUACUGUACAUGGCUCAAAUCUUGAAAUUCUUGGCUGCGUGCCACACCUGGUCUUUAAAAAUCAUGUCUUAAGGUUGAGCAAUUUCAGUUUGAGAAACCUACUUGGUGUUCUUGCAUUUCCUGAUAUAUUUGACAAACUUCUGUUGUGGCGAGUUUACGAUGGGUUUCAAUUUGGUGUAGUGAUCAAUCACUGAUGUCAUAUAUUUAUAACAGAGGGGGGAAAUGAAUACUUAUCAAAAAGUUCCUUUUGCAUAAAGCAGUUUUUGGGAGAUUUGGGAGUACAAAUGCCUAGUUCUAAUCUAUAGAGCCAACGAGACCCAUAAACAUUCUCAAACUAAUGUUUCAUAUUAAAAGACAAAUUGAUCGUGAUUUCAGUCGAGUGUACAUGUUGCACGAGAAUGACAUACUAAAAUGUUGAGCAAACCGAGGCUGGUGGUUUCUAUGCAAAACGAAGCUCUCCCCCUGAAUCAUUCUUUACUUCUAUUUUCCUGUAGCAAUUUUUGUACAUGUAUGUAGUUCCAAGGUGCAGAUAGUUAGCAUUUGGCUUUCUCUACUAUCGUUUGUCUUUUUAUAUCUUACCCCAUUUUACAUCAGUAAUUAUAGGAGAAGUUUAUCAUUAAGAAUCACACUAAUUAAUUGGGUUUACUUUAGGCACGAUCACACAAGAAAUCUAUGUUGAUUACAGGAAAGGCAUGCUCAUUUGUUCUCAGUACUGUUUUGAUUUUUCUACAAACAAUUGGCUUUGUACAGGUAAUUGAUAUAACCUACACAAUUGGGUUGUAUAAGAAUCAGGUUGCUACACUAUACUCCAGUGCCUUUCUGUUCAAUUUUCUGUUUGAUUACUGCAUCUUUCAUCUUUUCUAAUAUUAGGCGAUUAUGCUGGGUCAUUUGUGGCAUGCUCUUCUCUCUUUGCAUAGUGGAAAUACUUUUUGAUUACCAUUAGAAUAGGAGAUCACGCAAAGAUGUAUGCCAAGUUCUUAUUAUCAUCUAGCUAUUGGUUCCUAUCGAUAUUCAUGUCAAAUCUUGACAAGAUAUUUAUUGUUGUGAUUCAAGUAAGUAGGGGUGCAAAUUUAAAGCCAUCAUCUGGCCCUCCUUAGUUCAAAUAAAUGAACUAAAAUUUCAAGUUAAAUCAUGCAUUAUUUAAAUAGUUUCUACUUUGAGCUCUUCAAAUUUUAUGGAGAUACUCUCUCAAAUUUUGUUGUGUCCAGCAAGAAUGAAAAAAAAAUGUUCUUAACUGCAUUUUCUUCCUGCCUUUGAUUUCAGACAAUGUGCAUAUAUAUCUUAGGAUUCUCGAACCAGUGACAAUGUGGAAGGCACAUCCUUCGGUGCUUAGAUAUGCAACUUUUGAGUCUCUGCAGUGAAGAUUUCGCAGAACACGCAUUAGGGAUUAUCGACAUACAGAAAAUUGUCACAUCAUUACUAACUGCGGCAAAGAUUAGCAGCGAGUGCGAGGACGUCGUCCGAUGCUCGGGAAACGCUGCAGGAGUUCGCCUGUUCGGAGUUGUAGAGUGCAACCACGACCUCUUCCCUGCCAGCACCUGAUCUAGCGUCGUUCGUCCCACGACGGCGAGAUCCAGUUCCCCUGUGGCCUCUUCCUUCGGCCUUGGUUGACAAAAAGCAGUAAGAAAUCCUCACAUUUCCAAAUUUCUUUGCUACAAUUCAAUUACCUCUUCUCACCGUGCAAAUUUAAGAAACUCAACAACACAUUCUGAAGUGUUGUUUGUUGAUCAACUGGUUUAAUCAGUGCUGGCUUUGCGAGACUGUUGUCGUGUGAAAUUUUCAGAAGGAAAAAAUGCCUGUAGAUAUUGCUCUUCAAUCAUAUGACAAUAAACAUCAAUCUUCUCUUUUCUAUGCUGAAUGGUCAUUGCUGCUUGAUUUAGUGCGUUGCUGUGCAGUAAAUAUCAAGGCUUAAUUAGUAUAAGACUAAUAACAAUGGAAGAUCUAGAAGUUUCUAUCUCUGAACUUGCAGAGUUCUCCGAGCUUAGGAUAGCAAGACAUUGUCGAGGUUCACAAAGAGUAAAAGGCGACCUUACAUGAGCAUAACAAUAGCAGUACAAAUGCCAAAAGAAUUUGGCACACAAGUACAUAGUUACCACAACAAUAUUAGUACAUCAUAAAUGAUUGCUACGUCAUAAAACUCAGCGUCUAAGUUCCCCUCUCAGAACACACACAGUUAUAUUAUCCAGCAUAUCACUUCAGGAUGAACACACAGGUUUGCUCAGUGUUAUCCAUCGGUUAGGGGCAUGCAUCCUUCUAUUCUGUAUCUUGAUAUACAGAAAGAAAUACUAUGUAUUGUUUACUCUUACUGAAUUGAUAAUGAGGUCUUAGCUGUAAUGUUAAUAUCCGUGAAAUCAAUAUCUAAGGUUGCUAUUCUUAAGAUUUAGUCGUUUCGUACUCCUAAUUUUGCACUGGGAUUUAAUGAACAUGAAUGCAGAAAAGGUUAACAUGCCUUGAACAUCUUUAUUUACUGAACAGAAAUAGACAAUUCAGUGUGAAAAUUUGGAUUUUGGAACACGCCUAUGCUUGAUAGGAUUUGUGUAUCUCACCCUUCCAAUGAAAUGAACUGUAUGGCAUCUAAAUUUCGACCCUCCGCCGCUAGAUCAUUUGCUGUGAAGAAGUCUCCAGUAAGCGAUUGAAGUGUACACUGGAUAUUGCACUUCCAAUUGCGUGAUCCAUAUUGGUUGACUGAACACAUAAUUACCUUUUUUAUGUCCUGCAAAUAUGUGGUGUUUUGCAGAUUUAUGUUAACACAAGCUCACACCAUAUAUUUUCUAUGUACCUCUGUAUCCCAAUGGAAAAUGCAUUCUACAGAGCACUGUAACUUGGCAGUGCUUAUCUUUUCCUGAUUGACACAUGCAUUUCUUGAGAUGGACCAAAGCAGAACCUUGAUUCCGUAUAGUUUGCUUGCAUUCAGCUAACUUAAUAGCAGCGAACUAUCAAAUGAUUUCUGAACAAUAGUUAUUUGAUAUAAUUUUUGUUUUCUAUCACCAAUAAUGGUUGCUCCUCUGAUGCAUGUAGGCUAUAUCAUCAUUCAAGGAGAUUGUGGCAAAAUGAAGUGCGAUGCUAGAAACUUUCUCGUGAUACAAAAAACUCUGAAUCGUGGCAUUGUGUAGUGAAAAUAUGAAGAGGCUGGUACCAUUAUUAGUUUUUUACUGACCAGAAAAUUGUACUACCUCCGUAAACUAAUAUAAGAGCGUUUAGAAUACUAAAGUAGUAAUCUAAACACUCUUAUAUUAGUUUACAGAGGGAGUACUAUGUAUCUUCUAGGAUUGUUCUUGAUGCAUAUUUUGCUCAAGUUAAGUCUUUAUACCAUAUGAAUGGUUCUGCACACUCUCGCUGCCAUAUCACUAAAAUUAUUUUUCCGUGUAAAUCAUUGGUCACACUUUUCUCAUAAUUCUACUCAGGUCAAAAUGUCGUAGAAAUUGUGUUUUCUGGUGUUUACGAGCAAGGAUGUCAGCAUUGUGGGUUGGGGCAUGGUUGGGCUUUGUCUUGGCGGAGUGGCUACAUACUUUAGAGUUGUGUUGAGGGAUUUUUUUGCAUUAGCAAUUAAUAACUCAAGUAUAUUUUUAAAGAUGUUUCUUGCUUGGUGCUCUUCUUUGGUUUCUGAUCAGUUUGUGCCUGUUGUGUAGUGUGUAGGCUAUGUUCUAUUGGUUUGGACUGCCUUGAAUUGUUUGUUAUCGGAUAGAAAAUGCAACUCAGUACUCCAUUAUGUGUCACAACAGGUUUGGUAUAGACGUUUCAGGCUGACUCCUUACUUUUGCUUGCUCGAAGUUUAAGGUGCAUGCCACUUAAUUUUCUUCACGGGAGGAGGGUUGGCCAGAAGUAGGUGAGGUAAAAAAGUAGGCUCCAUCCCUCUUACAUCUGUUCAGACUACUGAAUUUGGUUCCCUUACUCAUUUCAGUUUCACUUGGUGUAUGUGAAGCAAUGCAAUUUACUUCCAUUGCUGCCAUCUUGCUUUUCGUGAGUUAAUUCUGUACAAUUAGUCAACAUUGUAGACGGUGGCCUGAUAGAGCGUUUUCUGUAAUGCAUGGUUAAAUAGCUUUUAGGUUGAUUUGAUAAGACAACUUUUUCUAAUGUCAGGCUUAGUUUACUUUUUGUAAGAGUAGGUUUGAUCCAUGUAAAUAUGCUUUAACAACUGAAAUUUUGACACAUGACAUGUUUUUAUUUGUUAUAUUUUAAGCUUGAAACUCAAAUCUCAGCUAUUCCCUAAAUAUUUAAAUACUGAACCUUUUGUUUUCUACACUGCCAUGGUCUCCGUGGUAUUAUUUUGAUAGCCUCACAACCACUAAUUGCUAUUAUAUAAAAAAAAAGGGCAACCUGGUGCAUGUAGCUCCCGCUUGCGCAGGGUCCAGGGAAGGGUCCGACCACUUUGGGUCUAUAGUACGCAGCCUUUCCCUACAUUUCUGUAAGAGGCUGUUUCCAGGACUUGAACCCAUGACCUCAUGGUCACAAGGCAGCAGCUUUACCACUGCGCCAAGGCUCCCCUUCUACUAAUUGCUAUUAUAUGAAAUGAUAAAUUAAUGUGGGCAGUCAUGACUAUUUUAUACAUCGAUGGUCUAAACUAGAAAUGUUUGACUGCGCGUUACACAUCAAGGAGGGGGUAUUCAUGUGUGUGGUCUGCAGUGGUAUAUCAGUUAAAGAUGUGCUAAUUUUGUUGUUAAUGCUUUGACAUGCUAUGAAAGUUUUCUGUAUGGCAAAGGACGUGUUCCUUACUUUCUCCUGUGUAUUUAUUUCAGAAGUUCUUCGAGCAUUUGUUUUUAACUUGUAGCUUAUAUUGACAGCCAUGGUUGUGUGCCUUGGUAGAUUGAAGUAGUGGCAUGUAACUGAUUUCACAUUCUUCUAUGAAUAAUACCCGGACUGCUCUGUGCUAGAUACAUCCGCUUGAGCGACAAUUAGUUCCAGACGGAGGGAGUAUGUUUUUUGAAGACUGCUCUGUCUUUUUUCCUUCUAGUUACUGGCCAUAAGCCCUUAGCUAAUGCCAACUCUGCUGUAACAUGCCUAUUGACCACCAGAAACCACUUUGUUUUCUGUGUAUGCUGGCCAUUUCAGUGUAGUUGUUUGAUAUGCUGCCAACAACUUUGCCCUUUCUUCUUUCUUACUCCCUCGGUCCCAUAAUGUAGUGCACAUUGGUUUUCCUGAAAGUCAAGCUUCAAAAACAUUGACCAAAUUAUUGAGAAAAAUCUAAUAUGUUUCAUGAAAAUAUAUAUCAAAUAUAUAUCACAUGAAAAUAUAUUUCAUGAUGAAUCAAUUGCUUUUUAUUUCGUAUUUUGGAUGUUGAUAAUUUGUUUCUGUAUAUUUGGUCAAAGUUUACAAGGUUUGACUUAAAAAAAAUCUAAUAUGUACUAUAUUUUGGGACAGAGGGAGUGCUAUUUAGUUAUUUCCUCGAGCAAAUCGAUGCUUAUUUAUGCUAAUGCAUAUGUUGUUUUAGUUCUAGUUGUGUGCAUGGCAUAUUGUUUUUCUAGAAGAUGCAGUUCUGAAUUUUCUCAUGGGUCUAUGAAUCUAUUAUUGCAUGAACUGGUGAUAUGCGGUCAAGUUGACUGACACCAUUUGGCAUUUCUAGUGCUUGAGUUGACAAAUUCGAUGUAAUCAAAUAGUGUCCCUAGAACUUAAAAAGUCAUCUAUUUAUCUAGUGUAAGUGUUGUCCUUUCCUUUUUAUGUGCCGGAAUUCUUCUACAUUCUGAGCAUCAACACACUUUUAGAUAGUACACUGGCACUGCUGCACUGGUGAUUCUAUCUUCUUUAAUACUCCCUCUCUUCACUUUUAUAAGACGUUUUAGACAGUUUAGACAGCACCCAAAACAGUCCAAUGCCAGCUCUGAAACGUCUUAUAAACGGAGGGAGUAUGUGAUUUAUGCUUCUGAAAGUGUCCACUAGGUUUUAUUGCUUGAUGAAUUGAGUGUUGUUUUUUGAGGAAUUGACUGUUGUAUUUGCUUAUAGGUGCAAUAUUUUGUAUCAAAUUUACCUUUAACAAUCUGUUACUAACCUUGGUUUUCCUUUGUCUCUGUCCCUUUUUUCGUCCCCUCCAAUGAUGGUGCCUGGACUAUGACCUCUGCCUUUUCAUGUUUGAUUUUCCUCUGCUGCUGCUAGGUAUUGUUUUGGCUUUUGUUUAUACAGGGUGCAUACUCACAUAAUGCUCCUUGCUCUGAAACAUUUAGUUUGACGGCCAUAUUCUGUUUGUACAUGCAAUUAUUUCUAAUAUGUAAGCAUAUUUGUAGGAUCAUACAGUGGCAGACUACGCACUCUCUAUAGUUAGUAUAUUUACUUACAGUCUUGGAUACACUAAAUGAGAACAAAGUUUGGAUGUGUCAUUGUCUGCACUCAAAUAGUUUCCUGAUGAAUAUGACGGAGCUACAUCUCUUUGACUGAAGAAAAUGAGGACCAAGCUCUCAAGACAGUUUUGUGUCUUCCACAGCAGGGCAAUUGCCUGAAAGAACCAUAACGUCAGUCCAUGCAUUCAGUUGUCUGUGCAGCAGCCUGCCAGCUGUCAUUUGAUUUGUAAUAACAUUAAUGUGGUCAUGUAGGUUACACAUGUACUAAGAACUGGUUGACUAUGUAUGACCAUCAGGUGAACUAAUAUUUCCUAUUAUUUGUUCAUUUCAGCCGUUUCACUUUCGUUUGUUACAUGUAUGUACAGGUACAAUGUCAUUGUCAUAUUAAUACUAUCGACGUGUGUUUGGUUC
Long non-coding RNA from Triticum aestivum (bread wheat), 10911 nucleotides. RefSeq lists it as uncharacterized. Lineage: Eukaryota; Viridiplantae; Streptophyta; Magnoliopsida; Poales; Poaceae. The transcript has 10 exons. The record is from RefSeq and is a predicted model, not a curated record.